CUGUAGUGAAGGUGGCUGGGGAAGGGGCUGUGGGCUCGGCUCGCUCACUGAGAGGGCCUAGGACAGGCAGCUGCUUAUACAACUUCUGCCACCCUAGGCACAGUCCCUGUGAGGCACCGCAGCUGAACCGAAACUAACACACCAAGUUUCCUUCCUUCGCAGAAGUUUGAAGAAGCGCCGGCAAGUUGAGUGGUUGGAGUGAGCCAAGGGAAUAUUAUAUUUGCAAGAGGAGGAAGAAGAUGUGAUUUCAGUGUUCAUUCAGACCAGGCUCUGAAGCAACAUGAUCUAAAACAUUUUCAGAGCAGCUUAGGAACAAUGUUAAUCAAACAACGUUUUUCUCAGUUCUGGAUUCCCCUGAGUAGAGACUUAUCCAAUUUUGUGACAUGCAUUAAUAAAGGAGUAGGAUGACAACAACAAACUCACUUUUACUAGUAAAAUAACUAGUACUUGAACUUGAGCCUCUGGAGAUGGAAUCGGGCUUGUUUAAUGUUUGGAAAGAUGACAACCUUAUUUUAACAAGUAUUCAUUAAUGUAAUGUUGUGAGAUAAUUUUAUUAACAUAUGAUACUGAAUACCACUAUGCACAUCCCUAUGCAUAUUUGUUAGGAGUGCAGCUGAAGGUAAAAGGCCGCAUGAAUAACCUGAAGUAACGAUGCAAGCCAAACAUCCUACCUCCUAUCUGAGAGAGAAAUCGAAGGUGCAAAACUUUCCGAUUUUUAAGACUCUUGUGCUCUUAUACCACUGCGUAUAAGAAGUUGUCAUAGUUACUGCUUUUGUUGGGUAGUUACUAAUAGUUUCAAGGAUGCUGUGAUGUGUAGGCCUUUGUGUAUGCAUACCAGUGCCCUUCAUUUAAACAGGAUAGACCUGAUGAUGAGUAAUGGUCCCAUCCACUAGUGCCAUUAUAUCUCCAACAGCAUAUUAAGCAGAGGCCUGUGAUUGGGAACAACAUUUUUUUUCCCCUUUUAUUUGUACUUGACAAUGAUCUCUUUGUGAAAUCAUGAAUGUAUUUUACCAAAUAAAAUGUAAGUGAAAAAAUGUA
Long non-coding RNA from Trachemys scripta elegans, 1038 nucleotides. RefSeq lists it as uncharacterized. The record is from RefSeq and is a predicted model, not a curated record. The transcript has 2 exons. NCBI's taxonomy places the organism in Eukaryota, Metazoa, Chordata, Testudines, Emydidae.